RNAcentral lists this small RNA (83 nucleotides) under Flavobacterium sp. 5. RNAcentral describes it as "Flavo-1 RNA". It matches the Rfam family "Flavo-1 RNA". Lineage: Bacteria; Pseudomonadati; Bacteroidota; Flavobacteriia; Flavobacteriales; Flavobacteriaceae. The record is from RNAcentral.
GCCUAGCCCCGAUGGAAAUGGCAUCCUUUUUGUCCCGAUUUUUUCAUCGGGAUAAAAAGAUAUAAUGGACAGCGGGACAACUG